This 397-nucleotide ribosomal RNA is filed under the name uncultured bacterium. RNAcentral describes it as "bacterial SSU rRNA". It matches the Rfam family "Bacterial small subunit ribosomal RNA", at positions 362 to 776 of the family's 1533-position model. The record is from RNAcentral.
UAUUGCACAAUGGGGGAAACCCUGACGCAGCGACGCCGCGUGAGCGAAGAAGUAUUUCGGUAUGUAAAGCUCUAUCAGCAGGGAAGAAAAUGACGGUACCUGACUAAGAAGCCCCGGCUAACUACGUGCCAGCAGCCGCGGCAAUACGUAGGGGGCAAGCGUUAUCCGGAUUUACUGGGUGUAAAGGGAGCGUAGACGGUAAAGCAAGGCUGAAGUGAAAGCCCGGGGCUCAACCCCGGGACGGCUUUGGAAACUGUUUAACUAGAGUGCUGGAGAGGUAAGCGGAAUUCCUAGUGUAGCGGUGAAAUGCGUAGAUAUUAGGAGGAACACCAGUGGCGAAGGCGGCAUACUGGACAGUAACUGACGUUGAGGCUCGAAAGCGUGGGGAGCAAACAGG